UAAAAACCCCGACUUCGGAAGGGGUGUAUUUAUUAGAUACAAAACCAAUGCCCUUCGGGGUUCUUUGGUGAUUCAUGAUAACUAUACGAAUCGCACGGCCUUGCGCCGGCGAUGGUUCAUUCAAAUUUCUUCCCUAUCAACUUUCGAUGUUUGGGUAUUGGCCAAACAUGGUUGCAACGGGUAACGGAGGGUUAGGGCUCGACCCCGGAGAAGGAGCCUGAGAAACGGCUACUACAUCCAAGGAAGGCAGCAGGCGCGCAAAUUACCCAAUCCCGACUCGGGGAGGUAGUGACAAUAAAUACUGAUACAGGGCCCUUUCGGGCCUUGUAAUUGGAAUGAGUACAAUUUAAAUCCCUUAACGAGGAACAAUUGGAGGGCAAGUCUGGUGCCAGCAGCCGCGGUAAUUCCAGCCCCAAUAGCGUAUAUUAAAGUUGUUGUGGUUAAAAAGCUCGUAGUUGAACCAUGGGCCUGGCUGGCCGGUCCGCCUCACCAAGUGCACUGAUGCGGGCGGGACUUUCCCUCAGUGGAAACCCAAACUCUUUAGUGAAGAGAGGGGUAAAAAGAAUAUAUUUUGUU
RNAcentral lists this ribosomal RNA (576 nucleotides) under uncultured eukaryote. RNAcentral describes it as "SSU rRNA". It matches the Rfam family "Eukaryotic small subunit ribosomal RNA", at positions 174 to 761 of the family's 1831-position model. The record is from RNAcentral.